This 1060-nucleotide ribosomal RNA is filed under the name Macrostomum lignano. RNAcentral's name for it is "bacterial LSU rRNA". It matches the Rfam family "Bacterial large subunit ribosomal RNA", at positions 949 to 1993 of the family's 2925-position model. The record is from RNAcentral. Lineage: Eukaryota; Metazoa; Platyhelminthes; Macrostomidae.
GCAAACUCCGAAUACCAAUGAGUACUAUCCGGGAGACAGACUGCGGGUGCUAACGUCCGUAGUCAAGAGGAAAACAAUCCAGACCGCCAGCUAAGGCCCCAAAAUUAUAGUUAAGUGGGAAACGAUGUGGGAAGGCAUAGACAGCUAGGAGGUUGGCUUAGAAGCAGCCACCCUUUAAAGAAAGCGUAAUAGCUCACUAGUCGAGUCGGCCUGCGCGGAAGAUGUAACGGGGCUAAAACUAUAUGCCGAAGCUGCGGAUUUGCAAUUUAUUGCAAGUGGUAGGGGAGCGUUCUGUAAGCCGAUGAAGGUGUAUUGAGAAGUAUGCUGGAGGUAUCAGAAGUGCGAAUGCUGACGUGAGUAACGACAAUGCGAGUGAAAAACUCGCACGCUGAAAGACCAAGGGUUCCAGUCCAACGUUAAUCGGGGCUGGGUGAGUCGACCCCUAAGGCGAGGCCGAGAGGCGUAGUCGAUGGGAAAUUGGUUAAUAUUCCAAUACUUCUAUGUAAUGCGAUGAGAGGACGGAGAAGGUUAAGUCAGCCUGGCGUUGGUUGUCCAGGUGGAAGGUUGUAGGCAUGUAUCUUAGGCAAAUCCGGGGUACUCUAUGCUGAGAACUGAUAGCAAGCUGUACUUGUACAGUGAAGUGGCUGAUACCAUGCUUCCAGGAAAAGUCUCUAAGCUUCAGUUACAUAGGAAUCGUACCCGAAACCGACACAGGUGGUCAGGUCGAGUAGACCAAAGCGCUUGAGAGAACUCUGCUGAAGGAACUAGGCAAAAUGGUACCGUAACUUCGGGAGAAGGUACGCUGCCGACGGUGAUAGGAUUUACUCCUUGAGCUAUUGGCAGCCACAGAAACCAGGCCCCUGCAACUGUUUAUUAAAAACAUAGCACUCUGCAAACACGAAAGUGGACGUAUAGGGUGUGAUGCCUGCCCGGUGCUGGAAGGUUAAUUGAUGGGGUUAGCGUAAGCGAAGCUCUUGAUCGAAGCCCCAGUAAACGGCGGCCGUAACUAUAACGGUCCUAAGGUAGCGAAAUUCCUUGUCGGGUAAGUUCCGACCUGCAC